CUCUCUGUACCUUAGUUGGUCAGAGCGCUGUACCAUAAUCGCAGGGCCGCAGAUUCGAUUCCUGCCAGAGACC
Non-coding RNA from Paramuricea clavata, 73 nucleotides. Lineage: Eukaryota; Metazoa; Cnidaria; Anthozoa; Malacalcyonacea; Plexauridae. The record is from the annotation of a GenBank genome assembly.